This 795-nucleotide ribosomal RNA is filed under the name uncultured bacterium. Its description in RNAcentral is "bacterial SSU rRNA". It matches the Rfam family "Bacterial small subunit ribosomal RNA", at positions 52 to 876 of the family's 1533-position model. The record is from RNAcentral.
CACAUGCAAGUCGAGGGGCUCUAUCGGAGUCACUGGCGCACGGGUGAGUAACACGUAGGUCAUCUACCCCUAUCACAGACAUAACCCCGGGAAACCGGGGCUAAUAUCUGAUGAGGUCGCGAGAUCAAAGCUUAGGCGGAUAGGGAUGAGCCUGCGGCUGAUUAGCUAGUUGGUGAGGUAAUGGCUCACCAAGGCGACGAUCAGUAGCUGGUCUGAGAGGACGAACAGCCACACUGGAACUGAGACACGGUCCAGACUCCUACGGGAGGCAGCAGUGAGGAAUAUUGGUCAAUGGGAGCAAUCCUGAACCAGCAAUGCCGCGUGUGGGAUGAAGGCGCUUCGCGUCGUAAACCACUGUCGGACGGGACGAAAAGAGCUAUAAAGCUCCGAGACGGUACCGUCAAAGGAAGGAUCGGCUAACUACGUGCCAGCAGCCGCGGUAAUACGUAGGAUCCAAGCGUUGUCCGGAUUUACUGGGUAUAAAGGGUGCGUAGGCGGUCUUGUGCGUCAGAGGUGAAAUAUCCGGGCUUAACCCGGAGGGUGCCUUUGAUACGGCAGGACUUGAGUACGAGAGAGGAUGAUGGAAUUCCUGGUGUAGCGGUGAAAUGCGUAGAUAUCAGGAGGAACACCGGUGGCGAAGGCGGUCAUCUGGCUCGUAACUGACGCUGAGGCACGAAAGCGUGGGGAUCAAACAGGAUUAGAUACCCUGGUAGUCCACGCCCUAAACGAUGUAUGCUUGGUGUUGGGUCCGCAAGGACUCAGUGCCGUAGGAAAUCUGAUAAGCAUACCACCUGG